Molecule: signal recognition particle RNA, 299 nt
Filed under: Aotus nancymaae (Ma's night monkey)
Lineage: Eukaryota; Metazoa; Chordata; Mammalia; Primates; Aotidae
Description: Metazoan signal recognition particle RNA (ENSANAG00000000163.1)
Rfam family: Metazoan signal recognition particle RNA
About the family: The signal recognition particle (SRP) is a universally conserved ribonucleoprotein. It is involved in the co-translational targeting of proteins to membranes.
Source: RNAcentral
GCUGGGCAUGGUGGCGCGUGCCUGUAGUCCCAGCUACUCGGGAGGCUGAGGUGGGAGGAUCGCUUGAGCCCAGGAGUUCUGGGCUGUAGUGCGCUAUGCCGAUCGGGUGUCCGCACUAAGUUCAGCAUCAAUAUGGUGACCUCCCGGGAGCGGGGGACCACCAGGUGGCCUAAGGAGGGGUGAACCGGCCCAGGUCGGAAAUGGAGCAGGUCAAAACUCCUGUGCUGAUCAGUAGUGGGAUCGCGCCUGUGAAUAGCCACUGCACUCCAGCCUGGGCAACACAGUGAGACCCUGUCUCA